UACAGGGGGGGCAAGCGUUAUUCGGAUUCACUGGGCGUAAAGGGCGCGCAGGCGGCCAGGUGUGUCAGGUGUGAAAGCCCGGAGCUUAACUCCGGAAUUGCGCCUGAAACUACUUGGCUAGAGCAUUGGAGAGGGUAGCGGAAUUCACGGUGUAGCAGUGAAAUGCGUAGAUAUCGUGAGGAACACCAGAGGCGAAGGCGGCUACCUGGACAAUUGCUGACGCUCAGGCACGAAAGCGUGGGGAGCAAACAGG
RNAcentral lists this ribosomal RNA (253 nucleotides) under uncultured bacterium. Its description in RNAcentral is "partial 16S ribosomal RNA". It matches the Rfam family "Bacterial small subunit ribosomal RNA", at positions 524 to 776 of the family's 1533-position model. The record is from RNAcentral.